RNAcentral lists this ribosomal RNA (468 nucleotides) under uncultured bacterium. Its description in RNAcentral is "partial 16S ribosomal RNA". It matches the Rfam family "Bacterial small subunit ribosomal RNA", at positions 28 to 507 of the family's 1533-position model. The record is from RNAcentral.
GACGAACGCUGGCGGCGUGCUUAACACAUGCAAGUCGAACGGAAAGGCCCUGCUUUUGUGGGGUGCUCGAGUGGCGAACGGGUGAGUAACACGUGAGUAACCUGCCCUUGACUUUGGGAUAACUUCUGGAAACUGGGGCUAAUACCGGAUAGGAGCUCCUGCUGCAUGGUGGGGGUCGGAAAGUUUCGGCGGUUGGGGAUGGACUCGCGGCUUAUCAGCUUGUUGGUGGGGUAGUGGCUUACCAAGGCUUUGACGGGUAGCCGGCCUGAGAGGGUGACCGGCCACAUUGGGACUGAGAUACGGCCCAGACUCCUACGGGAGGCAGCAGUGGGGAAUAUUGCACAAUGGGCGGAAGCCUGAUGCAGCAACGCCGCGUGCGGGAUGACGGCCUUCGGGUUGUAAACCGCUUUCGCCUGUGACGAAGCGUGAGUGACGGUAAUGGGUGAAGAAGCACCGGCUAACUACGUG